Molecule: ribosomal RNA, 496 nt
Filed under: uncultured bacterium
Lineage: Bacteria
Description: bacterial SSU rRNA
Rfam family: Bacterial small subunit ribosomal RNA
Source: RNAcentral
GGCUCAGGAUGAACGCUAGCUACAGGCUUAACACAUGCAAGUCAGGGGCAGCAUUAUCGAAGCUUGCUUUGAUAGAUGGCGACCGGCGCACGGGUGAGUAACGCGUAUCCAACCUUCCCCAUAGUCAGGAAUAGCCCGGCGAAAGUCGAAUUAAUGCCUGANGUUUUCCACGGACGGCAUCUGAUGUGGAACAAAGAUUCAUCGCUAUGGGAUGGGGGAUGCGUCUGAUUAGCUUGUUGGCGGGGUAACGGCCCACCAAGGCAACGAUCAGUAGGGGUUCUGAGAGGAAGGUCCCCCACACUGGAACUGAGACACGGUCCAAACUCCUACGGGAGGCAGCAGUGAGGAAUAUUGGUCAAUGGGCGGAAGCCUGAACCAGCCAAGUAGCGUGAGGGAUGACUGCCCUAUGGGUUGUAAACCUCUUUAUAAGGGAAUAAAAUACGGGACGUGUCCUGUUUUGCAUGUACCUUAUGAAUAAGGACCGGCUAAUUCCGUG